UACAGAGGGGGCAAGCGUUGUUCGGAAUUACUGGGCGUAAAGGGCGCGUAGGCGGCCUGCUAAGUCGAACGUGAAAUCCCUGGGCUCAACCCAGGAACUGCGUCCGAUACUGGUUGGCUUGAAUCCGGGAGAGGGAUGUGGAAUUCCAGGUGUAGCGGUGAAAUGCGUAGAUAUCGUCAAGAACACCAAUAGUGAAGACAGUUUACUAGACUUCAACUGACGCUGAGGCACGAAAGUGUGGGGAUCAAACAGG
This 253-nucleotide ribosomal RNA is filed under the name uncultured bacterium. Its description in RNAcentral is "partial 16S ribosomal RNA". It matches the Rfam family "Bacterial small subunit ribosomal RNA", at positions 524 to 776 of the family's 1533-position model. The record is from RNAcentral.